GAAACGCGAUAAUUAGUGCGAAUUGCAGAAUUCAGUGAAUCAUCAAAUCUUUGAACGCAAGUUGCGCUUCCGGGAAACCUGGGAGCAUGCCUCUUUCAGUGUCGGACUUCAAUACCAACACAUCUGUGUUUGUGUCUUGCACUUCCCCGCCCCAGCGGCGCGCGGAUCUGUUGAAUUCCACGCUCUGCCGACUGCGCACCCGUUUGCAAUGACGCCCACACUUGUACUUGGAUAGUUUACUCUGUCUGUGGUGCUAGGGGCGCUCAACUAACGCGAAUCGCGGACCGCCAGUCACUCAAGGCAGCGUCAUUGAGUCACCAAAGCCUGGGUCCGUCAUUGACGGCCCUCGCGGGGUGACACCACCUCAAACAAUGACCUGAAAGAGGUAAGACUACCCGCU
RNAcentral lists this unclassified non-coding RNA (400 nucleotides) under uncultured fungus. RNAcentral describes it as "sequence contains ITS1". The stretch from base 1 to 104 matches the Rfam family "5.8S ribosomal RNA", at positions 50 to 154 of the family's 154-position model. The record is from RNAcentral. Lineage: Eukaryota; Fungi.